UACGUAGGCAGCGAGCGUUGUUCGGAAUUACUGGGCGUAAAGAGUGUGUAGGCGGUGUUCCCAGUCUGUUGUGAAAUCUCCCGCUUAACUGGGAGGGUGCGCCGGAAACUGGGGUGCUCGAGCGUGGGAGAGGAAAGCGGAAUUCCUGGUGUAGCGGUGAAAUGCGUAGAUAUCAGGAGGAACACCUGUGGUGUAGACAGCUUUCUGGACCAUUGCUGACGCUGAGACACGAAAGCGUGGGUAGCAAACAGG
This 252-nucleotide ribosomal RNA is filed under the name uncultured bacterium. RNAcentral describes it as "partial 16S ribosomal RNA". It matches the Rfam family "Bacterial small subunit ribosomal RNA", at positions 524 to 776 of the family's 1533-position model. The record is from RNAcentral.